GCUGGCGGCAGUGCCUACACAUGCAGAUUCCUAGCGGCAGCGGAAAGUAGCUUGCUCCUUUGCCGGCGAGCGGCGGACGGGUGAGUAAUGUCUGGGAAACUGCCUGAUGGAGGGGGAUAACUACUGGAAACGGUAGCUAAUACCGCAUAACGUCGCAAGACCAAAGAGGGGGACCUUCGGGCCUCUUGCCAUCAGAUGUGCCCAGAUGGGAUUAGCUAGUAGGUGGGGUAACGGCUCACCUAGGCGACGAUCCCUAGCUGGUCUGAGAGGAUGACCAGCCACACUGGAACUGAGACACGGUCCAGACUCCUACGGGAGGCAGCAGUGGGGAAUAUUGCACAAUGGGCGCAAGCCUGAUGCAGCCAUGCCGCGUGUAUGAAGAAGGCCUUCGGGUUGUAAAGUACUUUCAGCGGGGAGGAAGGCGUUGGAGGUUAAUAACCUCAGCGAUUGACGUUACCCCGAAAAAGCCCGGCUAAAUCCGUGGCCAACAGCCCGGGAAAUACGGGAGGGUGCCACCGUUUAUUCCGAAAUUUUG
RNAcentral lists this ribosomal RNA (535 nucleotides) under Enterobacter sp. DE4. RNAcentral's name for it is "bacterial SSU rRNA". It matches the Rfam family "Bacterial small subunit ribosomal RNA", at positions 35 to 556 of the family's 1533-position model. Lineage: Bacteria; Pseudomonadati; Pseudomonadota; Gammaproteobacteria; Enterobacterales; Enterobacteriaceae. The record is from RNAcentral.